CCACAACAGAUUUCCACAACCUAACUGAAUCGGGAAUAUGCUCUAAACCCUUCCUCAAAACCCUACUUUUAUUCACAUCAUCGUGUUCCAGUUUUGCAGCCUGCAACCACAACUUAACAGAAUUUGGUAUACUCUUCACUCCCUUAGCUAUAACUGCUUUGGCUUCAUCAGGGCUAGCCAGCCUACAUGCCUCUAACCAAACAUCCUCAUUUUUAGGACAUUCCUCGCAGCCCCUUUGUAUCAACUGCCUUGCUGCCUGAAUCUUCCCGGCCACCUCUUCCAACCUUGCAGCAGCAAUCCAACCAGGCGGGUGUUUUGGGUUAGUCUGAGUAACACUCUUCAACAACAACCUCGCCUUCUUAAUAUCCGAAAUCUCUGCAUCACUUGUAAUCUUCAUACUCUUCAAAUCCGUCAAAUAGCCUUUAGGAUCCACCACAGUGAGCCCUGAAACAGAAUCGGAUAACCUAUCUAACUUCAAUGACAACACAGUGCCUCUCCCUUCACCAACAGCAGUCAGGUCAGUGACUGGAGUCUGCGACCAUGGCGUUUCAGUCCCACCAGCAGCUCUGCUCUUGGGGUCCAAAGCAGUAACAUGCUCCUGCUCUUGCCUCGCCUUCUCGAGAAGGGUAUCGGGUACUGGUACGAAGCUCUCAAAUCUCCUCUUCUUGUUUCUCAACGAGUAAUCACCAAUGUCUGGUAUGCUCUCCCAUUCUUGGGCGGAUAACGUGUACAAUUUCCUCUUCAAAUCCGCGAAUUGCUCAGUGAUCUUCGGAUUUGAAGCUCGGUACUUCUCGAUCUCCUGCUUCAAUCUCGCCUCCCUCCUGUCCUUUCGCCGCGAAUCCAUCCUCUUAUCAAUUGCCUCCCAUACCGCAUCUGCUUCCUUGUCGUCCUCGUCAUAUUCCGCCGAAGCAAACAGCCCGACGUCGUUCCCUUCAAACUCAUCGAAUUUCUGGUUCUCGUCGUAACCCUUAUCAUCCCCCUCAUCAUCCUCUUCUUCUUCGCCGCCUUUUCCUCGGCCACGGCCGAUCCCAGACGCGGCACUGGAUGCUCCUCCAAUGGUGGUAGCAGAUCGGUCAGGAAGAUCAGGAGCAGCACGAGCUGGACCAAUAUCAGACCGGGUGGUGAAGCCCGUGGCACCACGCCCAAGACCAGCGACAUAGUUGGGGGGAGGCUUAGAAUUUAGGAAAUCAAGGCGGGGCUUAGGCGGAGCAGGAGGUUGGGUGCCACCAAGGAAAGGUAUAUACAGGGUCAGGGUGGAAUAGGGGGUGAUACCCAGCUGGGAGAGGAGAAUUUCAUCGGAAUUUUGAAGGCCGUUUGGAUUAUAAACGGGACUAAAUGAAGGCAAUAAAAAUAGUUGGCGAGAGAUGGGAAUUUGGGAUUGGGAGUGGAUGUGGUUUUUGAGGGCGGAAAGGGUGGUGAUGUUGGGGUUGACGUGGAGAAAGAGGGUCUUGUUGUUUGGAGAUUUAACGAAAACCAUUUUUUCCGAUGAAAAGAGAUAUGGGGAUUUGGAUUCAAUACCCAGAAAAGGGUGUUAGGGUUCAGGUGACUGCCCUAAAAGAAAGGAAGAGUGAAAGAGAGCGGCGCUAUGGCGGUGGUU
RNAcentral lists this unclassified non-coding RNA (1597 nucleotides) under Hevea brasiliensis (rubber tree). Lineage: Eukaryota; Viridiplantae; Streptophyta; Magnoliopsida; Malpighiales; Euphorbiaceae. The record is from RNAcentral.